GACGAACGCUGGCGGCGUGCCUAAUACAUGCAAGUCGAACGCAUUUUCUUUCACCGUAGCUUGCUACACCGAAAGAAAAUGAGUGGCGAACGGGUGAGUAACACGUGGGUAACCUGCCCAUCAGCGGGGGAUAACACUUGGAAACAGGUGCUAAUACCGCAUAAUUCCAUUUACCGCAUGGUAGAUGGAUGAAAGGCGCUUUUGCGUCACUGAUGGAUGGACCCGCGGUGCAUUAGCUAGUUGGUGGGGUAACGGCCUACCAAGGCUGCGAUGCAUAGCCGACCUGAGAGGGUGAUCGGCCAAACUGGGACUGAGACACGGCCCAGACGCCUACGGGAGGCAGCAGUAGGGAAUCUUCGGCAAUGGACGCAAGUCUGACCGAGCAACGCCGCGUGAGUGAAGAAGGUUUUCGGAUCGUAAAACUCUGUUGUUAGAGAAGAACAAGGAUGAGAGUGGAAAGUUCAUCCCUUGACGGUAUCUAACCAGAAAGCCACGGCUAACUACGUG
RNAcentral lists this ribosomal RNA (507 nucleotides) under uncultured bacterium. RNAcentral's name for it is "partial 16S ribosomal RNA". It matches the Rfam family "Bacterial small subunit ribosomal RNA", at positions 28 to 507 of the family's 1533-position model. The record is from RNAcentral.